CCUACGGGAGGCUGCAGUGGGGAAUUUUGGGCAAUGGCCGAAAGGCUGACCCAGCGACGCCGCGUGUGGGAGGAAGCCCUUCGGGGUGUAAACCACUGUCAGGGGGGACGAAUGUACGGGGAGGGAAUACUUCUUCGUAGUGACGGUACCCCCAAAGGAAGCACCGGCUAACUCUGUGCCAGCAGCCGCGGUAAUACAGAGGGUGCAAGCGUUGUUCGGAAUCACUGGGCGUAAAGCGCGCGCAGGCGGAGAUGCAAGUCGGAAGUGAAAUCCAGCCGCUCAACGGCUGGGCUGCUUCGGAUACUACAUCUCUAGGGACCGGUAGAGGCUGGUAGAAUUGCAGGUGUAGCGGUGGAAUGCGUAGAGAUCUGCAAGAAUACCCGUGGCGAAGGCGGCCAGCUGGGCCGGGUCCGACGCUGAGGCGCGAAAGCGUGGGGAGC
This 440-nucleotide ribosomal RNA is filed under the name uncultured bacterium. RNAcentral's name for it is "bacterial SSU rRNA". It matches the Rfam family "Bacterial small subunit ribosomal RNA", at positions 338 to 769 of the family's 1533-position model. The record is from RNAcentral.